Molecule: long non-coding RNA, 1088 nt
Filed under: Struthio camelus australis
Lineage: Eukaryota; Metazoa; Chordata; Aves; Struthioniformes; Struthionidae
Description: lncRNA (ENSSCUG00000004872.1)
Source: RNAcentral
GGAGCUUUAAUUGGAACUGACCUUGUAAAGCAUGCUCCCUUAUGUUCAGGCUUACAGUCAUGGGUGGGCUGGCUGAUCUAUUUAAAAAUGCCUGGUUCACAUUAACUACCCAGUUUUCAGAGAGAGUUUUUAGAUGCUUGGCGGUAUCACACGGAACAAAUGACUGCGUUUGAAUAUUGAUCCGGCACCUUGGCAGUUAAUGGAAACAAUAAGUAUCGAUGUUGCUUGUAGCACCUCAGACAGCACUAUCAUGAAAUGUUUUGAGGUAAGAAAAUACUUUCCUUAAGGAAAAAAAAAUACUAAUUAUACAACUCCUGCUACUAGGACAACAGCUUUCCAGUUGCUGAUCUGUAUGUAUUUUUAGAAGGAACAGAAAUGAGAGUCAAGUAAGGUCUAACAAGCAAGGAGAUUCUCCCAGGACAGAUUUGAUCAAAAUUAGUUCCUAUGAUUAUAACAUAGAUCCAAAUGUAACAGGCCCAUCAAAUAGCAAAUGCACUGUUUUGCUCCAGAAGGCUACGCGGAAAAGAAAUGCUGUGUCUUUUUGCCGGUUGGGUGGAAGCAAGCAAAGGGUUGGAACUGGACGGGGCAAAGCAGGUGUUUACGAGGAAGCCUAGGACUGGACCCUGGCUCCACUGCCAUCGAAGAUUGCCAGACUGACACCUAGCCCAGAGGACGGACGCUUGCCCUGUGAGAGCGGCUCUCUCCAGCACCGCAACGCGGCGUCAGCCCUGCCUUGGAGGCAAAGUGGGGGCGUGAGACCUAAACCUGCAACCUUGCGGCCGAAAAGCAAGGUUGUAGCAAAGGAGGCCUGGGGGCAUGGCCGGAGGGGACAGAAGAGAGCAACGGUAGCCUAAUUUUUAUGGUGCAGCCCUAGCCGUCCACAUUACUGUAACACCAGGCAGGAAAAAAACUGUACAUUUUAAAGACUUGGCUGCAGAAAUACAGAAAAAACUUAUUACCAGCAAUGGCUUUUUGUUCUGUUUGGGGAGAGGAGGCAACACAACGGUUCUAUUCCAAAUACUUUCCUCCUUCCCCUCUUAUCUAGAGGAGUGGUUUUGUACAUGAAAAUAAAGUGGGCUUUCUAGACA